UCGAGAAUCUUCCACAAUGGACGAAAGUCUGAUGGAGCGACGCCGCGUGAUUGAUGAAGCCCCUCUGGGGCGUAAAGAUCUUUUAUGAGGGAAGAAGUUUAUUGACGGUACCUCAUGAAUAAGAGGCUCCUAAUCUCGUGCCAGCAGGAGCGGUAAUACGAGAGCCUCGAGCGUUAUCCGGAAUUAUUGGGCGUAAAGGGUGCGUAGGUUGUUCUAUUAGUCUUUUGUCAAAUCCUUGGGCUUAACCCAA
This 250-nucleotide ribosomal RNA is filed under the name uncultured bacterium. RNAcentral's name for it is "partial 16S ribosomal RNA". It matches the Rfam family "Bacterial small subunit ribosomal RNA", at positions 355 to 617 of the family's 1533-position model. The record is from RNAcentral.